GCAGGGAUUUCAGGGCCCUGUGGAUGUGGCACUUGGGGACAUGGAUCAGUGGUGGCCUUGGCUGUGUUGGGGCAUGGUUGGACUCGAUGAUCUCUGAGGGCUUUUCC
Sturnus vulgaris (Common starling) is the source of this 107-nucleotide non-coding RNA. Lineage: Eukaryota; Metazoa; Chordata; Aves; Passeriformes; Sturnidae. The record is from RefSeq and is a predicted model, not a curated record.